Molecule: transfer RNA, 59 nt
Filed under: Radix sp. MOTU5
Lineage: Eukaryota; Metazoa; Mollusca; Gastropoda; Lymnaeidae
Description: tRNA-Ser
Source: RNAcentral
GAGAAAGGGAGUAAAACAAAACCCCACAUCAAAGUUAGCAGCUUUAAUUUUCUUCCUCU